GGAAGGAUCAUUAACACGUUCCAUAAAAACCAAUCUAAAACAUGUGCGAACUCGUUGCGGGGUGACCUUCUCCACCGUCAUGUGGGGUUGCUCUGCGUUUAUUUAUUUACCAAUUAAACACAAUCUCUACUCGUUUGACAGUAAAAAACAAAUCAAUACAUUACAUGUAAUGUGUAUGUAUUAAUAACGCUUUUUACAACUUUUAGCAACGGAUAUCUUGGUUCUCGCAACGAUGAAGAACGCAGCGAAAUGCGAUACGUAGUGCGAAUUGCAGAAUUCAGUGAAUCAUCGAAUCUUUGAACGCAAAUUGCGCUCCCGGGCAUCUGCUUGGGAGCAUGCCUCUUUGAGUAUCGGUUCUCAUCCCUGCUACAGCUCGUUUUUUAAUUAGAACGAUGCCUUGUAUGCGAAUCUUAAAUGAGUUGUCACGGCGGCCCCUAGCAGGCUGUUGUGUCACUUGAAAUAUUACUUUUAAUAUUGGGUCUUGAUCAAGACUUUGUAUUAGUGCCUAAUCAUCCUUUCUCAUUGGUUUACAGGCGCAUUUUGUUCGGGUGUGGUGUCUUUGUACACUCGCUUCAAGCAUUUUGUGACUGUAUUACUGGUGGUUUGACGGGUCGAGAUAAAGUGCUAGUGUAGAGUUUUGGACUUGAUUUAAUAACCGAUACGGCUAUCUAAAGGUUGUAUCAACAUUUACAAACCUGCUGAUCUCAAAUGAGGUAAGAGGACCCGCUGAACUUAAGCAUAUUAAUAAGCGGAGGAAAAGAAACUAACAAGGAUUCCCCUAGUAACGGCGAGUGAAGCGGGAAUAGCUCAACUUGAAAAUUGGAAGGCUUUAGGUCUUCCGAAUUGUAGUCUAUAGAACUGAUGGCAGCGUGUGGCCCAGGCCUAAGUCCCUUGGAAGAGGGCGUCAUGGAGGGUGAGAACCCCGUCUGUGGUCUGGAGAUCCGCCGCGUACGUCGUCAGUUUCUACGAGUCGGGUUGUUUGGGAAUGCAGCCCAAAAUGGGUGGUAAAUUCCAUCUAAAGCUAAAUACUUGCGAGAGACCGAUAGCGAACAAGUACCGUGAGGGAAAGAUGAAAAGAACUUUGAAAAGAGAGUUAAAAAGUGCUUGAAAUUGCUAAAAGGGAAGCAAUGGAAACCAGUAGUCGUGCUGUGCUCAUUUCCCUGUCUGGUGGGUGGCAGGCUGGUGGUGCGAGAGUUUUUACGACCUCGAACUGCUGGUCUUUGCUGCUUGCUGGGCAGUCCCUGUGGGUGCGGCCGUGUCAGACCCGCUUUGGAUUUCGCGCAGGAUAUGCGCCUGAUGGAAGGUGGCAGUGAUCUACUUACGUAGUGAGCUGUGUUUACUAUGCCGUCAGGGUCGCGCUGUGCUGCUGGAGCGGUAGUUUCUCACCUCUCGAUAGGUGGGCUCCUGGCAGUGUAAGGUGGUGGUCGCUGUGUGCCGGUCGGUAUGUGGGAAAACAAAGUUUUGCCAUGUCUGGCUGGUGUGCACCGUCUGUCGCUCUGAGCUGUCAGUUCUGACGUAAAUGGUUUUCACUGACCCGUCUUGAAACACGGACCAAGGAGUCUGACAUAUAUGCGAGUAUUUGGGUGCUUGAAACCCUGAUGCGUAAUGAAAGUGAAGGCAGGCAGUGGUCUGCCGAGGUGGGACUCUGGCCACCUUGUGUGCUAAGCCAGAUGCACCAUCGACCGAUCGUUCACUUGUGGAGGAUUUGAGUGAGAGCAUAUCUGUUAGGACCCGAAAGAUGGUGAACUAUGCCUGGACAGGGCGAAGCCAGGGGAAACUCUGGUGGAGGCUCGUAGCGAUACUGACGUGCAAAUCGUUCGUCUGAUCUGGGUAUAGGGGCGAAAGACUAAUCGAACCAUCUAGUAGCUGGUUCCCUC
RNAcentral lists this unclassified non-coding RNA (1877 nucleotides) under uncultured fungus. RNAcentral's name for it is "sequence contains 18S rRNA gene, ITS1, 5.8S rRNA gene, ITS2, 28S rRNA gene". The stretch from base 700 to 1877 matches the Rfam family "Eukaryotic large subunit ribosomal RNA", at positions 1 to 961 of the family's 3401-position model. The record is from RNAcentral. Lineage: Eukaryota; Fungi.